UACGUAGGUGGCAAGCGUUAUCCGGAAUUAUUGGGCGUAAAGAGCGCGCAGGUGGUUAAUUAAGUCUGAUGUGAAAGCCCACGGCUUAACCGUGGAGGGUCAUUGGAAACUGGUUGACUUGAGUGCAAAAGAGGGAAGUGGAAUUCCAUGUGUAGCGGUGAAAUGCGUAGAGAUAUGGAGGAACACCAGUGGCGAAGGCGGCUUCCUGGUCUGCAACUGACACUGAGGCGCGAAAGCGUGGGGAGCAAACAGG
This 253-nucleotide ribosomal RNA is filed under the name uncultured bacterium. RNAcentral describes it as "partial 16S ribosomal RNA". It matches the Rfam family "Bacterial small subunit ribosomal RNA", at positions 524 to 776 of the family's 1533-position model. The record is from RNAcentral.